AAGCAUAUCAAUAAGCGGAGGAAAAGAAACUAACAAGGAUUCCCCCUAGUAACUGCGAGUGAAGCGGGAAAAGCUCAAAUUUAAAAUCUGGCAGUCUCUGGCUGUCCGAGUUGUAAUCUAGAGAAGUAAUGCCCGUGCUGGACCGUGUAUAAGUCUCCUGGGAUGGGGCGUCAUAGAGGGUGAGAAUCCCGUCUUUGACACGGACUACCAGUGCAUUGUGGUAUGCUCUCAAAGAGUCGAGUUGUUUGGGAAUGCAGCUCAAAAUGGGUGGUAAAUUCCAUCUAAAGCUAAAUAUUGGCGAGAGACCGAUAGCGAACAAGUACCGUGAGGGAAAGAUGAAAAGAACUUUGGAAAGAGAGUUAAACAGUACGUGAAAUUGCUGAAAGGGAAACGCUUGAAGUCAGUCGCGUUGGCCGGGAAUCAGCCUUGCUUUUGCAUGGUGUACUUUCUGGUUGACGGGUCAGCAUCAAUUUUGACCGCUGGAAAAAGGCCUGGGGAAUGUGGCAGCUUCGGCUGUGUUAUAGCCCCUAGUCACAUACAGUGGUUGGGAUUGAGGAACUCAGCACGCCGCAAGGCCGGGUUUCGACCACGUUCGUGCUUAGGAUGCUGGCAUAAUGGCUUUAAGCGACCCGUCUUGAAACACGGACCAAGGAGUCUAACAUGCCUGCGAGUAUUUGGGUGGAAAACUCAAGUGCGUAAUGAAAGUGAAAGUUGAGAUCCCUGUCGUGGGGAGCAUCGACGCCCGGACCAGAACUUUUGGGACGGAUCCGCGGUGGAGCAUGUAUGUUGGGACCCGAAAGAUGGUGAACUAUGCCUGAAUAGGGUGAAGCCAGAGGAAACUCUGGUGGAGGCUCGUAGCGAUUCUGACGUGCAAAUCGAUCGUCAAAUUUGGGUAUA
Molecule: ribosomal RNA, 897 nt
Filed under: Agaricus yanzhiensis
Lineage: Eukaryota; Fungi; Basidiomycota; Agaricomycetes; Agaricales; Agaricaceae
Description: eukaryotic LSU rRNA
Rfam family: Eukaryotic large subunit ribosomal RNA
Source: RNAcentral